RNAcentral lists this ribosomal RNA (248 nucleotides) under Escherichia coli. Its description in RNAcentral is "partial 23S ribosomal RNA". It matches the Rfam family "Bacterial large subunit ribosomal RNA", at positions 2695 to 2925 of the family's 2925-position model. The record is from RNAcentral. Lineage: Bacteria; Pseudomonadati; Pseudomonadota; Gammaproteobacteria; Enterobacterales; Enterobacteriaceae.
GAGUGGACGCAUCACUGGUGUUCGGGUUGUCAUGCCAAUGGCACUGCCCGGUAGCUAAAUGCGGAAGAGAUAAGUGCUGAAAGCAUCUAAGCACGAAACUUGCCCCGAGAUGAGUUCUCCCUGACUCCUUGAGAGUCCUGAAGGAACGUUGAAGACGACGACGUUGAUAGGCCGGGUGUGUAAGCGCAGCGAUGCGUUGAGCUAACCGGUACUAAUGAACCGUGAGGCUUAACCUUACAACGCCGAAG